This 480-nucleotide ribosomal RNA is filed under the name uncultured bacterium. Its description in RNAcentral is "partial 16S ribosomal RNA". It matches the Rfam family "Bacterial small subunit ribosomal RNA", at positions 28 to 523 of the family's 1533-position model. The record is from RNAcentral.
GACGAACGCUGGCGGCGUGCUUAACACAUGCAAGUCGAACGAUGAAGUUCCUUCGGGAAUGGAUUAGUGGCGAACGGGUGAGGAACACGUGAGAAACCUGCCUUUCAUUUUGGGAUACCUCCGGGAAACCGGGGCUAAAACCGAAUACUCCGUCUCGGCGGCAUCGCUGAGCCGGGAAAAAAUUUUGAUGAAAGAUGGUCUCGCGGCCUAUCAGCUAGUUGGUGAGGUAAUGGCUCACCGAGGCAACGACGGGUAGCCGGCCUGAGAGGGCGACCGGCCACACUGGGACUGAGACACGGCCCAGACUCCUACGGGAGGCAGCAGUGGGGAAUAUUGGGCAAUGGGCGCAAGCCUGACCCAGCGACGCCGCGUGAGGGAUGAAGGCCUUCGGGUUGUAAACCUCUUUCAGUUGGGAAGAAGCGAAAGUGACGGUACCUAAAGAAGAAGCACCGGCUAACUAUGUGCCAGCCGCCGCGGUAA